AUAUUUAAUUUCAAGGUAAUAUUUACUAUGGUAGUGACCAUCCUGUAAGUCUCUUCAGAGAAGCCCAGAAAAGGAACCGAGAGAGAUGCAAAGCCUUCUGCACGUCCCCAUCUACGCCCGAGACCUUUUGAGCAAUAUAGUAAAGGGCAGACUCCUCCAAGAUCAAGCCGUCUCGGUGGGGACUUUGCUCGUAGUCGCUAAUACUAUAAUAACAGGUGGAACGACGGAGGGGAUGCUUAACAUUUGCAACAGGUUCUUCGCACGUAUACUGCGAAAAAUUAAGAACUUUAGGGGCGCAACCCUCCUUCUCCAAACGUGGUGUGUUUGAAGCUUGGAUAAGAAGCAAGUAAAUACGAUAUAACAAAGCUAUAAGGAGACAAAAGUCUCUUUAAAAUUUGUAUGUUCUUUAGUGAGCAAUCAUAUCAACUGUAGUAAGUAUAAGUCUCAAACGAGCUAAUAUACUAAUAAUAGUGCCCAGUUAUCUUGAAACACUAAUAAAUAUAGUCCUAAAUAGGAAAUAUAAAUCGCCAGUGAAAAAAGGGAAUCUUUCUUGAAUGAUGUGAAGUAUUGGCAAACUUGUUCGCAGCACACAAACCUUUUGUUGUAGUAAAAAAUAUUAAAAUUGUCGAUGCUUACUUAGCAAAAAUAGGGUGGGCGCCGUUAAAAAUGGUAAUUGGUAAAGCUUAUAUAAAAGCUCUUUAGAAUAAAGUUGAUCGACUUCAUCCAAGAUUAAAAGCCUACUGAAAAUCUAAAAAGAGGCGCAAAACGUAGACAAAAAGUCUAACCCAGAAAGGAUAGCUUUAGAAAAAUUACAGUGUGAAACUUCCAAGCAGUUUACAUAUACGAAGUGCAAAAAUUAAUACAAAUAAAACUAUUUUUACAAUCAAAAAAACUUAAAAAAAUAAUUAAUCCUUGCUAAACAUCUAAA
This is a long non-coding RNA of Zophobas morio, 928 nucleotides long. RefSeq lists it as uncharacterized. The transcript is spliced from 3 exons. The record is from RefSeq and is a predicted model, not a curated record. NCBI's taxonomy places the organism in Eukaryota, Metazoa, Arthropoda, Insecta, Coleoptera, Tenebrionidae.